This 329-nucleotide unclassified non-coding RNA is filed under the name soil metagenome. RNAcentral's name for it is "partial contains 5.8S ribosomal RNA, internal transcribed spacer 2, and large subunit ribosomal RNA". The stretch from base 1 to 120 matches the Rfam family "5.8S ribosomal RNA", at positions 35 to 154 of the family's 154-position model. The record is from RNAcentral.
GAUGAAGAACGUAGUGAAAUGCGAUAAGUAAUGUGAAUUGCAGAAUUCAGUGAAUCAUCGAAUCUUUGAACGCACAUUGCGCCCCCUGGUAUUCCGGGGGGCAUGCCUGUUCGAGCGUCAUUUCACCACUCAAGCCUGGCUUGGUGUUGGGCGACGUCCCCUUUGGGGACGCGCCUCGAAACGCUCGGCGGCGUGGCACCGGCUUUAAGCGUAGCAGAAUCUUUCGCUUUGGAAGUCGGGGCCCCGUCUGCCGGAAGACCUACUCGCAAGGUUGACCUCGGAUCAGGCAGGGAUACCCGCUGAACUUAAGCAUAUCAAUAAGCGGAGGA